CAUGCAGUCGAGCGCACUCUUCGGAGUGAGCGGCGGACGGGUUAGUAACGCGUGGGAACGUGCCCUUCUCUAAGGAAUAGCCACUGGAAACGGUGAGUAAUACCUUAUACGCCCUUCGGGGGAAAGAUUUAUCGGAGAAGGAUCGGCCCGCGUUAGAUUAGAUAGUUGGUGGGGUAAUGGCCUACCAAGUCUACGAUCUAUAGCUGGUUUUAGAGGAUGAUCAGCAACACUGGGACUGAGACACGGCCCAGACUCCUACGGGAGGCAGCAGUGGGGAAUCUUGGACAAUGGGCGCAAGCCUGAUCCAGCCAUGCCGCGUGAGUGAUGAAGGCCUUAGGGUCGUAAAGCUCUUUCGCCAGAGAUGAUAAUGACAGUAUCUGGUAAAGAAACCCCGGCUAACUCCGUGCCAGCAGCCGCGGUAAUACGGAGGGGGUUAGCGUUGUUCGGAAUUACUGGGCGUAAAGCGCACGUAGGCGGAUCAGAAAGUAUAGGGUGAAAUCCCAGGGCUCAACCCUGGAACUGCCUUGUAAACUCCUGGUCUUGAGUUCGAGAGAGGUGAGUGGAAUUCCGAGUGUAGAGGUGAAAUUCGUAGAUAUUCGGAGGAACACCAGUGGCGAAGGCGGCUCACUGGCUCGAUACUGACGCUGAGGUGCGAAAGUGUGGGGAGCAAACAGGAUUAGAUACCCUGGUAGUCCACACCGUAAA
Molecule: ribosomal RNA, 705 nt
Filed under: Phaeobacter sp.
Lineage: Bacteria; Pseudomonadati; Pseudomonadota; Alphaproteobacteria; Rhodobacterales; Roseobacteraceae
Description: bacterial SSU rRNA
Rfam family: Bacterial small subunit ribosomal RNA
Source: RNAcentral